Chlorocebus sabaeus (green monkey) is the source of this 3447-nucleotide non-coding RNA. The record is from RefSeq and is a predicted model, not a curated record. Lineage: Eukaryota; Metazoa; Chordata; Mammalia; Primates; Cercopithecidae.
CCUGGGAGGCAGAGGUUGCAGUGAGCUGAGAUCACGCCACUGACUCUAGCCUGGGCAACAGAGCAAGACUCCGUCUUAAAUAAAACUUCAAAGAAGAAAGUCUCCACCCCAUGAAGUUAGAGAGAGGUAUGUAGUCAAUCUUCUUACCUCAGCCAUAUCUUUACUAUCCUUUCCCCAUCCCAGUACCCACAAAUUACGCUAAUUCAUGCCCCGGAUUGGUAUAUAACUUUAAAAAAAAAAAACUGUCUUAAUGUAUUUUACAAAUAUUUGUUUGAUAUCUAUUAUGUUGAAUAAUAUUUGUCCAAUAUCUAUUUGUUGAAUAUUUGUUGAUAUCUAUUUGUUAUAUUUGUUGAAUAUCUAUUAUGAUUCAUUUCCUUAACCACUGUGUACAUUCAGCCAUGUAAAAACUCUACAUAGGAAGACAUAACAAGUAAAAUCUAUUAUAAAGCUAUAAACUGAGUGUCUUAUGGAAGGUCAGAGGAAGAACCAAGAGUCUCAAAGGAAGUGAGAGAUAUCCCUAGGAAAAAAAGAUGGUGAGAAUAUUCUAAAUUAUAAACUAGUACAUGUAAAGGUAGGAAGACCAAAGAAAAAGGGUGUAUACGAGCUGAGGGUAUAUGUAUUAGAUGGGCUUGGGUUUUAGGAUAUUAGGUGUGCACCAGCAUAACUGGGAAGUGGAGCUACAUGGAAGGAUGUGAUAGAAGAGGUAAGUACCUUCACUAAAGAUGCUGGUCUAAAAGAAGUCAGUAAGACCAGGCCAUGCAGCUCAAAAUGCUAGUGCCCUCAUCUAUGUACUUAAAGUGUCCUAUCAAGUACCAUCAGGAGACUACCUGAUAUGACCCUGAAAUAAGUCUAAUCACAAAAGGACAAUAGAAUCCACUAGUGUUCUGAAAUUGCAGUACUCUCCUUAACCUGUACUCUUCUACUCUCCACUCAGGAUCACAGUCAAAAGGUAUUCCCGGUGCAUCCGGAAUCCACAGAGCCAGUAGGACCACAGCCACUUCCUCAGUGUCUAAGGGCUGCUCUGUUUUUAAGCCAAACUCCAAAAAGAGAAAGAUCUCUGUGCCAAUGGAGGACUAUUUUAACAAAGGGAAAAAUGAGUCUAAGGACAGUAAGCUUCAAUUUGGAACUUAGUUGAUAUGGCAGCAAAUGAAAUCUGAAAAUGAGCCACUACAAGAAGAAUUAAAUAAAAACUUGUUUGACAAUCUAAUUGAAUUUCUGCAAAAAUCUCAUUCUGGAUUCCAGAAGAAUUCGAGACUUGGGCUGUCAAAUAAAACUCAGAGAAAUUCCAACUGCUGCUCUUGUUCUUGGUGUGAAUGUCACAGAUCAUGAUUUAACAUUCAGAAGUCUAACAGAGGCCCUUCAGAAUAAAGUCGCACCAUAUGUAGUCUCAUUGCAAACUAAAGACUGUCCAGAUAUGAAACAUUUUUUUUGCAAAAGUUGAUCUCACAAUUGUUGAACUGCUGUGUAGAUAUAAAAUCCAAAGAGGGGGAAAGUGUUCAGCUCACCCAGAGAAAGAUACAUUAUUCAAUGAAUUCACUUUCCAGUUGGUAUAUGACUGUCAGACAGAAGACAGACCCAAAAAUGCCAAGCAAAAAGAGGACUACUUCUAGCCAAUGGCAGUCUCCUCCUGUUGUGGUUAUCUGAAAGGAUAUGGAAAGCUUUGCCACAAAAGUACUGCAAGAAUUCAUAAUUAUCAACAGUCAACAUCUGCAUGAAUUUUCACUAAUAUUCAUUUUAUGAAUUGCCAUAUCUAUUAUCAUCAGCCGAUUGUUUCCUCAUGCAGUAUCAUCUCUAUUGUGCAUAGAACUGUUCCAAGUUUUGUCUUGCAAGGAGCACCUGACUAUGGUACUCAAUAAGCUACUUCUUACAACUCAGUUUCCCUUUAAAAUAAAUGAAAAAGCAUUGCAGGUUCUGACUAACAUCUUUUUGUAUCAUGAUUUCUAAAUUCAAAAUUUUAUAAAAGGACCAGCUUUCUCUAUUAGAGCAUUUCUAUUCCCAGCCCUUAAGUGUCCUGUGCUGUAAUCUUCCAGAAGCCAAAAGAAGAAUAAAUUUUUUAUCAAACAAUCAAUGGGAAAACAUCUGACAUCUUCCAUCUUUUAGGAGGUACGUAGAAAAGCAAGUUGCGCUCUUGACCAAUGAGAGAUGUUUGAAGGAGGAAACACAAUUAUUACUAGAAAACCUUCAUGUGUAUCAUAGGAAUUACUUUCCGGUUUUGAGAUGUCUUCAUAAGUUCACCUCUUCUCUUCCAAAGUAUCCACAAGGUUGACAGAUCAGAGAGUUGUACCGCACAUGUUUAGAAAAAAAAAAAUAUGGAAUUCAGAGGAGUAUGCAUCAGUCUUGUAGCUGCUGAAGAUGUUGGCAAACGAUGAACUGAUGACCAUACUUGAGGAAUGUUUCAAGGUUUUUAAAUCUUCUUGUGAAAAUCACCUUGGCAGCACAGCUAAGAGAAUAGAGAAGUUCCUGGCCCAGUUUCAGAGCUUCGAUGAAACCAAAGAGGAAGAAGAUGCUUCUGGGUCAGUCAAAGGGGCUUCAGAAGACAGACCUCUAUCAUCUUCAGAAGUCUUUACUGGAAAUGAAGGAGUCAAGCGGAAGUAAGAAGCAAACCAAAUUUGAAGUACUCAGAGAAAAUGUUGUGAACUUCAUGACUGUCUAGUGAGAGAACAGCUUCUGCUGCCUCCUGAGACACAGCCUCUCCAUGAGGUGGUCCGCUUCAGUGCUGCCCAUGCCCUUCGUGAGCAUUUAGAUGCUGCUCCAUGAAUUGCCCUCCAUACUGCACUCAACAAUCCUUACUAUUAUCUAAAGAAUGAAGCACUGAAAAGCAAAGAAGGGUGCAUUCCAAAUGUCGCCCCAGACAUUUCCAUAGCAUAUAAAUUGCACCUAGAGUGUUGCAGGCUAAUCAACCUUGUGGACUGUUCAUAGGCUUUUGCAACAGUUUUGACAGCUGCUGAAAAAAUGGAUGCAAAUUCUGCAGCCUCAGAAGAAAUGAAUGAAAUUAUCCAUGCUUGGUUUAUUAGAACUCUUUUUGAACUAGAACUUUUAGGAUUUAUAAAACCUACCAAAUAGAAGACUGACCUUGUGGCAAGGCUAACAUGGGGAGGCUGCUAGAAAGUGAAAGCAAAUGAGUGAAGUCAGAACUAUCACAUUUAGCUUAAGUGAAAAAGGUGACCAGUGAUAUUUACAUACACUAGAGGACUAGAGGAGCCUGUUUUGGUGAGAAGAUAAAUGUGUAAUCCUUAUGUGAUGUUUAUCCAGAAAAGUACAUUGCUAACCCCAAACAGGCAUAUAUCAAAACACCUGUAGAAUACUUUAGAGUCCAACAAAUAAUACAUAUAACUAAAACUGCUCACACAUUUUACUGUACUUUUCACAAAGUUAUUACAAAAUUGUGAGUAAAUCAUUCUUGAACUUAUAGUAUAAAAAUAUAAUAAAUUCCUUUAUCCAGGAGUA